UACGGAGGGUGCAAACGUUGCUCGGAAUCAUUGGGCGUAAAGCGCACGUAGGCGGUCCAGCAAGUCGGGUGUGAAAGCCCUCGGCUUAACCGAGGAAGUGCAUUCGAAACUACUGGGCUUGAGUACUGAAGAGGAUCGCGGAAUUCCCGGUGUAGAGGUGAAAUUCGUAGAUAUCGGGAGGAACACCGGUGGCGAAGGCGGUUCUCUGGGCAUUACCUGACGCUGAGGAGCGAAAGUGUGGGGAGCGAACAGG
RNAcentral lists this ribosomal RNA (253 nucleotides) under uncultured bacterium. Its description in RNAcentral is "partial 16S ribosomal RNA". It matches the Rfam family "Bacterial small subunit ribosomal RNA", at positions 524 to 776 of the family's 1533-position model. The record is from RNAcentral.